Molecule: ribosomal RNA, 429 nt
Filed under: uncultured bacterium
Lineage: Bacteria
Description: bacterial SSU rRNA
Rfam family: Bacterial small subunit ribosomal RNA
Source: RNAcentral
UGGGGAAUUUUGCGCAAUGGGCGAAAGCCUGACGCAGCGACGCCGCGUGUGCGAUGAAGGCCCUCGGGUCGUAAAGCACUGUCAAGUGGGACGAAAACCUAUUUGUUAAUACCAAGUAGGCUUGACGGUACCGCUAAAGGAAGCACCGGCUAACUCUGUGCCAGCAGCCGCGGUAAUACAGAGGGUGCAAACGUUGCUCGGAAUUACUGGGCGUAAAGCGCGUGUAGGCGGUUUAGAAAGUCGGCUGUGAAAGCCCUCAGCUCAACUGAGGAAGUGCAGCCGAAACUGCUAGACUAGAAUAUCGAAGAGGAAGGCGGAAUGCGCAGUGUAGAGGUGAAAUUCGUAGAUAUUGCGUAGAACAUCGGUGGCGAAGGCGGCCUUCUGGGAGAUUAUUGACGCUGAGACGCGAAAGCGUGGGGAGCGAACAGG